Mobula hypostoma (lesser devil ray) is the source of this 1534-nucleotide long non-coding RNA. RefSeq lists it as uncharacterized. The transcript is spliced from 3 exons. The record is from RefSeq and is a predicted model, not a curated record. Lineage: Eukaryota; Metazoa; Chordata; Chondrichthyes; Myliobatiformes; Myliobatidae.
CGCAAGUCACCUUUCCCUCCCGACUUCCACCCACUCCACCUCCCCGCCUUCCUUUGUAAUCACUCGCUGUUAUUUUUUUCUUUGAUCUCCCUCUAACAAACCCAUCGCAGUCACACAACCUCCUCAGUGCCGGCUGACCAACAUUGUAGUGGGUAUUCUGUCUCCGGCUCUUCCAGACGAGUUGUGUCACAGCCCAACCGCUCCUCAACCUUCGAAUCGUAAUUACAAGAAAAGUCUCACCGAACAUCGAGACUGAUGUGCUUAUAAUGGCCAGAGGAAGGAAAAAGAAAAAUUUUGGCAGCCAAUUUUUCUGGCACAACAAGGCCGAGUUUCAAAAGAUGCUACCUGACUUGCUGAGUUCCUCCAUUAUUUUGUGUGUGUUGCUCAAGACUUCCAGCAGGAUCUAUCAACAGUGGCCACAUUAUUAGGAGUUCCCAACCUCUAUUAUGCCAUAGACCAAUACCAUUAAGCAAGGGGCCUGUGGACCCCAGUUUGGGAACCCCUGCACCCAAUUCCAGGCUUCUAACACUGGGCUUUGAACUCCAGACUUCACAGAACAACCCCAGUAACAAGAACAGCAACAUCAGCAAAAGCAAGCCCCACUCCUUCCUUCCACCCACUCACCCACGCAUAGGGUCCUCCAACCCCACACAAGCCGUUUCCGGUCUCCAGUGGACUCGUAGACCUGAGACUCUGGUCAUCGGACAAUGAGGAAUCUGGAUGACAUUGAUUACUGAUGGCCAGGACUGAAAAUAUCACUGUUGCUGCACCCAUUUGAACACCAACCAUUGUUGGAGAAGAGGACGUCACACCAGAGAGAUUGCUGGAUCUUUGACCUCGGCUUUCUUUGAGGUCAGUGGCGUGCAGUCAUGAUUCGCUACAACCAAAGGCGUAGGUCCAAGAAGGAUGCAGGCAUCAGCAGUAAAGAAACACCACCACUGGCAGGUUCCUCUUAAAGUCACACACUAUAUGGGAUUGCAAUCACCCUUCUUUGUUACAGAGUCUAAAUCUCAAAACUCUCCUCAAUACCACUGUAAGAGUACCUUCACUGGGAGGACCUCAGCAGUUCAAGAGUGGGGCUCACCAGCGCUUUCUCAAGGAUGGCUGGUCAUGCCAAAAGAGCUAAACCCCCAAAGAAUGAGUGAAAAAAAUAGCAAAUAAAAGAAGAAGAAAAUGAAAAAGAUGAAAAAAAAGAGAAGCUCAACUCAGGGUCAACAACAGCACCAAUGUUGCAAGCAGUGGGCUUCAAGUCUUAAUCAACUGCAUAGGGAAGGGUGAAGUUCAAAGUUCAAAGUAAACUUUUAUCGAAGUACGUACAUGUCACCACGAACGACCCUGAAACUCAUUUUUAGCUGACAUGAAGAAUCUUUGCAAACUUUGAAAAAAUUAGAGGUGCUCUGUGCCUCCUUUAAAAUGACACCUAACUACUGGACCCGGAACAGAUCCUUGGAAAUGAUAAUGCUGAGGAAGUUAUUCUACAGUUUACAUGUUACAGUAAAACCUGAAUACUGUAGCCUUUUGAAAUAAAAUAUGC